GACCAUGUGCAUUCCAAUAAUAGAGCUACAACCAUCAUUUAUCAUUAGUACAUAUCAUCUGUUGCCCCUCGACACAAUAAUAUCAUAUUCAGACUUGAAUCACCAGCACAGUUUGUGACCUACUUUUCAGUUGCCCUCGAACGUGACGGUCAUCCCCAGAAUGCUCCUCUUCAUAGUGGCCUUGGAGUUGGUAGAAAGACUGCAGGUCCUUCAGGCACAGCGGGCAAAGAAAUCCCUCCUUCACCUCACCUGAGCCCUCAAAAGGGGUUGGGUAGCUCGAAGCCAUGAUUGGGGCUGCCAGUGUUGUGGAAGUGUGUCACAGGAAGCGCAAAGGAUGCCAUGAUAGAUCCAUCACACUGGAAACCAACGAUAAAAGCGCAAAUAAAGCAACGAUGUUAGGAGCAACUGGUAAUUGACACUUCCUUAUGGUAGCUUCACCACACUGAGGGGCUUAUAAACAGCAACAUCGAUUGUUGGAUGACAACUUCCUUCCUUCAGCCAGGACACCGAAGAUGGGUCGUAGAUGGGUCUUGUUAGUGACGUAUGGAUUGAGCGCAGCAGGAGGCUCUCCGCGCUAUGGUGAAGCAAAUCGUCCACAGUCCUCUGGUCCGGCUCCUCUUCAGCGGAGAUGCUCUGUCCUUUGCACACCAUCUUCAAGUUGCAGACCAGGACAGAAGCCAAGACGAAAAGACAUGUCAUCUUCAUGGCGUGACUCUUGCGUAGCCUGUGGAAGACAUUGAAAACUGAGGCACGUC
Molecule: long non-coding RNA, 755 nt
Organism: Dunckerocampus dactyliophorus (ringed pipefish)
Lineage: Eukaryota; Metazoa; Chordata; Actinopteri; Syngnathiformes; Syngnathidae
Exons: 3
Source: RefSeq, a predicted model, not a curated record